CUACGGGCCGCAGCAGUCGAGAAUCUUCCGCAAUGGACGAAAGUCUGACGGAGCGACGCCGCGUGCGGGAUGAAGGCCUUCGGGUUGUAAACCGCUGUCAGUGGGGAGGAAAUGCAUCAGGGUUCUCCCUGGUGUUUGACCGAUCCGCAGAGGAAGCGCAGGCUAAGUUCGUGCCAGCAGCCGCGGUAACGCGAACUGCGCGAACGUUAUUCGGAAUCACUGGGCUUAAAGAGUUCGUAGGCGGCCUUUCAAGUCGGGUGUGAAAUCCCUCGGCUCAACCGAGGAAUUGCGCCUGAUACUGUGGGGCUCGAGGGGGAUAGGGGUGAGCGGAACUGAUGGUGGAGCGGUGAAAUGCGUUGAUAUCAUCAGGAACACCGGUGGCGAAGGCGGCUCACUGGAUCUCUUCUGACGCUGAGGAACGAAAGCUAGGGGAGCGAACGGGAUUAGAUACCCCCGUAGUC
RNAcentral lists this ribosomal RNA (461 nucleotides) under uncultured bacterium. Its description in RNAcentral is "partial 16S ribosomal RNA". It matches the Rfam family "Bacterial small subunit ribosomal RNA", at positions 339 to 795 of the family's 1533-position model. The record is from RNAcentral.